UAGAACGAGGUGUACGUUGGUAGCACGAUGGAUUUUGAAUCCUUAGGAGUAGGUUCGAGGCCUGCAGUUCUAG
This 73-nucleotide transfer RNA is filed under the name Lepilemur otto. Its description in RNAcentral is "tRNA-Gln". It matches the Rfam family "tRNA". Rfam says of the family: Transfer RNA (tRNA) molecules are approximately 80 nucleotides in length. Their secondary structure includes four short double-helical elements and three loops (D, anti-codon, and T loops). The record is from RNAcentral. Lineage: Eukaryota; Metazoa; Chordata; Mammalia; Primates; Lepilemuridae.